CCAGUUGGAAACGACUGUUAAUACCGCAUAGUAUCUGUGGAUUAAAGGUGGCUUUUGGGCUGUCGCAGAUGGAUGAGCCUGCGUUGGAUUAGCUAGUUGGUGGGGUAAGGGCCUACCAAGGCUACGAUCCAUAGCUGAUUUGAGAGGAUGAUCAGCCACAUUGGGACUGAGACACGGCCCAAACUCCUACGGGAGGCAGCAGUGAGGAAUAUUGGACAAUGGGGGCAACCCUGAUCCAGCAAUGCCAUGUGUGUGAAGAAGGCCUUAGGGUUGUAAAGCACUUUAGUUGGGGAAGAAAGCUUUGAGGUUAAUAGCCUUGAGGAAAAGGACGUUACCCAAAGAAUAAGCACCGGCUAACUCCGUGCCAGCAGCCGCGGUAAUACGGGGGGUGCAAGCGUUAAUCGGAAUUACUGGGCGUAAAGGGUCUGUAGGUGGUUUGUUAAGUCAGAUGUGAAAGCCUAGGGCUCAACCUUGGAACUGCAUUUGAUACUGGUAAACUAGAGUACGGUAGAGGAAUGGGGAAUUUCUGGUGUAGCGGUGAAAUGCGUAGAGAUCAGAAGGAACACCAAUGGCGAAGGCAACAUUUUGGACCGAUACUGACACUGAGGGACGAAAGCGUGGGGAUCAAACAGGAUUAGAUACCCUGGUAGUCCACGCUGUAAACGAUGAGUACUAGCUGUUGGAGUCGGUGUAAAGGCUCUAGUGGCGCAGCUAACGCGAUAAGUACUCCGCCUGGGGACUACGGCCGCAAGGCUAAAACUCAAAGGAAUUGACGGGGACCCGCACAAGCGGUGGAGCAUGUGGUUUAAUUCGAUGCAACGCGAAGAACCUUACCUGGUCUUGACAUCCUGCGAUCUUUCUAGAGAUAGAUUGGUGCCUUCGGGAACGCAGUGACAGGUGCUGCACGGCUGUCGUCAGCUCGUGUUGUGAAAUGUUGGGUUAAGUCCCGCAACGAGCGCAACCCCUAUUGAUAGUUACCAUCAUUAAGUUGGGUACUCUAUUGAGACUGCCGCUGACAAAGCGGAGGAAGGUGGGGACGACGUCAAGUCAUCAUGGCCCUUACGACCAGGGCUACACACGUGCUACAAUGGGUAUUACAGAGGGCUGCGAAGGAGCGAUCUGGAGCGAAACUCAAAAAG
RNAcentral lists this ribosomal RNA (1139 nucleotides) under Francisella endosymbiont of Dermacentor occidentalis. RNAcentral describes it as "bacterial SSU rRNA". It matches the Rfam family "Bacterial small subunit ribosomal RNA", at positions 146 to 1281 of the family's 1533-position model. Lineage: Bacteria; Pseudomonadati; Pseudomonadota; Gammaproteobacteria; Thiotrichales; Francisellaceae. The record is from RNAcentral.